UACGUAGGGAGCAAGCGUUGUCCGGAAUCAUUGGGCGUAAAGCGCGCGUAGGCGGCCUUGUAAGUCCGUUGUGAAAGUCAAAGGCUCAACCUUUGAAAGCCGAUGGAUACUGCAAGGCUAGAGUCCGGAAGAGGCGAGUGGAAUUCCUGGUGUAGCGGUGGAAUGCGUUGAUAUCAUUAGGAACACCGGUGGCGAAAGCGGCUCACUGGGGCUCUGCUGACGCUGAGGCACGAAAGCUAGGGGAGCGAACGGG
This 253-nucleotide ribosomal RNA is filed under the name uncultured bacterium. Its description in RNAcentral is "partial 16S ribosomal RNA". It matches the Rfam family "Bacterial small subunit ribosomal RNA", at positions 524 to 776 of the family's 1533-position model. The record is from RNAcentral.